Long non-coding RNA from Dreissena polymorpha, 2715 nucleotides. RefSeq lists it as uncharacterized. The transcript is spliced from 3 exons. The record is from RefSeq and is a predicted model, not a curated record. NCBI's taxonomy places the organism in Eukaryota, Metazoa, Mollusca, Bivalvia, Myida, Dreissenidae.
GAAAAAUAAUUGUCUCGGUAUGGACGUCGUCAUCUUGACUAUCACGUGAUUACCCCUUCUGGUAUAUGCGAUCGCAGAAAUGUCCGUGACGAUAAAAUAUCCGUGACUUGUAACAUAUAUAACGUUUCAGGCAUGUUGGGAGAUUGGGAUUUAUACUUCCAUUGUGUUUAUUUCAUUGCAAUGGUUUAUAAAGAAUGCUAGCACUUAUGUGUGUGCCUAAAUUAUAUUAUGUUAAUAUUGUAAAUCUGCAAAGGAACAGUUUGUGUGGUCUAAAUGCUCAGUUAACACUAUUUUUCACAAGUAAUAUAUGUCACACUUAAGAAAUAUUUUGUAUAGAUAAUGCCAUUAUCAUCCAUUUCUGCAUGUUUAGCGCGAAAGCUCUGUAUCGGCUAUUGUUUAAUGUUUGCUUCACACAAUACAUUUUUCAAUGUUUAUUAAAUUUCCGUUACUCUAUAGUGUCGUUUAAAUUUAUUGAAGUGCACUUAUAUAGGAAACAGAACGAAUAAACAUAUGUAAUUAGUGGUUCACCUCAGUCAUAAAUAUGAUUAUUUUGUAAUUAACAUUAUAUCGAAAUCAACACAACACGUUUUAUACAAAAUACAAAACUUGUGUUCAGUACAUAUUUAAAAAAAUGAGACAACACAAUUUUUCUUUCUUCAUUUGAUCAUUGAAAUUUUCGUGAGAUAAAAAAGAAACACUUCACUGACGGUCUCUACAAACAGAUAGGCAUCUUCAGAAUGAGGUACUUUUAUUGUAAAAUCCUCUGUACAUUAUACAGUCGUUUAUAUUCUGCAUAUUUGACAAUAAAACAAAGUAACAGACAUUUAGAGUAGGCUCUGUUGAAUAAUAUACACGGGCACAAACAAACCAUCAUAUAUAAAAAAGUAUAAUAGAUAUGCAUGUAAAACUUCGCAUGUACGUGUGUGAUGGAUAUGGCUCCUCAAUAAACAUAUCAAAAACGCAUGCGUAAAUAUUUUAAAAAAAUCAAUUGUACACCCCUGGUGUUCCUAUUUAUUGAAAAACCGUGAUAAACAAAUUGUGCAGCAAACAAAGAUUGGUAUAUACCAAGGAGCUAUAUAAUAAUCUAUUAUGUAUGUCCUUGGCAUUUCCUCCUUAAAACACUAAACAAUCAACUAGAACCUACAAUGUAAAAAUUUAGAACAGCCAACUGCUGCUACCUUCUCAAUUAUAAUUUUCACUGGCAUCAGCAAUGAUUUCUCCAUGUUGCAUACUGUACUUAGAUUUCACAAGGGCCAGGCAGCAUUUUUGUUUUAUUUUCCUUUGUGAGCAUUUAAAGUCAAAGUAAUUUCAAAUUACCAUAAUUGAGGAAUAAAUGCAAGGUAGGUCAGCGAUAAUUAUGUCACCCACCAAAACAUAUUAUUUAAUACCAUUGAUAUAACACUUUGAUAAUUUUACACUUGUAAGUAUAUAUUUUUUAAGUACCAAAAUACUAGGAUUAAAUUAAUUUGUAUAUUCCUAACUACUGUUUAAACGUCAUUUUAGUUAGCGACUGUCACGUCACCCACCGUACUCAAGGUAGCGACUAUCACGUCACCCACCGUACUCAAGAAGAGAAUAGAUAUCACGGUACCUGAACCACGUGACUUUUUCGGCUAUGUGUGGGACAAUCGGAUGUAAACAAAACGUCGCUUCAGACUUGAAAAGGAUUAGUCGAAAGAUCUGUAACGCUUUUAAGGUUCGAAGCUGUGUAAGAACUACAUGAACACCAUCAAACCACACGGAAGGUGAUAUGUGGCAAGUUAAAAAUCAAAACCACGGUGACAGAGACAGGGACCCCGCUUCAUUCUGUGAUGUUUAUGGAAAGCUAUUUCAACUAACUACGCAAACAUACCAUUUAACAUGUAUUUUUGCAUAAGCAAAACAAAGUGUGUGUAUUGAUAUGUGUGUAUAUUUAUCGGUUUUGUAUCUAUGUUAUUACUAAAAUUGAUUAGAUGAAUAUAAAAUCUGAUAAUGUGUGUUAAUAAAACAGGUGUUUCAUAACAAAUAAUUUAAAUCCAAUGAUGCGUGUUUGUGGUCUAUUCCAAUAUCAUCUCCAUUUGAACAUCUUCGAAUCCAAUAAUGCUUGUUUGUGGUCUAUUCCAAUAUAAUCUCCAUGAAUAUCUUCAGUAUAUCAAAAUAAACACGUCAUUAAUAAUACCAUUACUUUAUAACUAGCAUGCACAUGUAACAAUAGAAAUUAAAGCGCCAAAUACAUAAAGAAGUACAUUAGUAUUCACAAAGAAAUUGUAAUCAGUCAAUUUAUGAAUUUGCAAAUCUUGCUAUUCAAACAUAUGAAUGCUUCAAUUAAGUCAUAACAAAUGAUCAUCGCCAAAACGUCUUGACUUGUGGGGGUCAUUAUGCCAACAAACAUAUUGAAUUGCAUCAAUACUUAAUUUACUCAAAUUCAAAUGAAAGCUGAAUAACUGACAAUAGUUUGAGAUGUUUAAUGAAAAUACCCAUUCGCCCCGGUCAUGAAAGGGCGCUGCAAGAUCUUGUUACCACUGCACCAAGUAAUUAACAUUAAAUCAUAUAAUGUUGUUCAAUUUGUUGAAAUGUCAAAUUUUUAUGUAAUGUUUACUUUGAUUGUUUUCUUUCCCUGCAAUACUUGCACCAUCUGGUAAUAAAUCAAACAGUCAUUUAAACUUUGGAACAUUUACUAUACAUGUUUGUAUAUGACAACUUUUCAUUGAUCAAGAUAUCAGUACGUCUCUUGAA